GACUCCAUAAUGUAGUGGUUAGCACGUCUGCUUUUCACGCAGAAGGUCCUGGGUUUACACCUAGGUGGAGCCA
Molecule: transfer RNA, 73 nt
Filed under: Pteropus alecto (black flying fox)
Lineage: Eukaryota; Metazoa; Chordata; Mammalia; Chiroptera; Pteropodidae
Rfam family: tRNA
About the family: Transfer RNA (tRNA) molecules are approximately 80 nucleotides in length. Their secondary structure includes four short double-helical elements and three loops (D, anti-codon, and T loops). Further hydrogen bonds mediate the characteristic L-shaped molecular structure. tRNAs have two regions of fundamental functional importance: the anti-codon, which is responsible for specific mRNA codon recognition, and the 3' end, to which the tRNAs corresponding amino acid is attached (by aminoacyl-tRNA synthetases). tRNAs cope with the degeneracy of the genetic code in two manners: having more than one tRNA (with a specific anti-codon) for a particular amino acid; and 'wobble' base-pairing, i.e. permitting non-standard base-pairing at the 3rd anti-codon position.
Source: Rfam by way of RNAcentral